AGAGACAGCAGCCGCCGCGGUAAUACGAAAGGGGCUAGCGUUGCUCGGAAUUACUGGGCGUAAAGGGCGCGUAGGCGGACAGUUCAGUCGGGGGUGAAAGCCCGGGGCUCAACCUCGGAAUUGCCUUCGAUACUGGCUGUCUUGAGUAUGAGAGAGGUGUGUGGAACUCCGAGUGUAGAGGUGAAAUUCGUAGAUAUUCGGAAGAACACCAGUGGCGAAGGCGACACACUGGCUCAUUACUGACGCUGGGGCGCGAAAGCGUGGGGAGCAAACAGGAUUAGAUACCGCGUAGUCCCUGUCUCUUAUACA
This 309-nucleotide ribosomal RNA is filed under the name uncultured bacterium. RNAcentral describes it as "partial 16S ribosomal RNA". It matches the Rfam family "Bacterial small subunit ribosomal RNA", at positions 504 to 808 of the family's 1533-position model. The record is from RNAcentral.